UGUCUGAUUUUCAAGCAUCAUGUGUGAUUUACUGAUACUUGAUGAAUUUGCAUG
This 54-nucleotide microRNA precursor is filed under the name Carica papaya (papaya). Its description in RNAcentral is "miR8147 stem-loop (cpa-MIR8147)". Lineage: Eukaryota; Viridiplantae; Streptophyta; Magnoliopsida; Brassicales; Caricaceae. The record is from miRBase by way of RNAcentral.